CGGCGGAGUGGCUUUGCUGCCCUCAUUCUCAGCACCGGCGCAGGCCGCCGGGGCGCUGAGCUCUUCCUUGCAACUUUACUUUGUCGUUCGAUGGAAGUUGUUGCUUCCGGGGCUGCAGGUUCUUGGGGUAUAGGCUCGUUUCCUGCGUUCUGGAGAGACUCAUUUUUAAGGCGAAAUAGUUCCUGGUUGCUAUCGGUCUGCCUAUCAUCCCAGUUUCAUUACUCGCCCCUUAAAAUCGCAUCUCCGGCUUCUGAUUAUGUCUUUGUCUUUUCAAGAUUAAUUUAAACACUUUUGGUCAAACCUAAGAUACUUUGAUGCUGGUGCUUUCUUGAUCUUUCCAGGAGGUGUCAACAGAAGAUUUUCACACAACUACAUCCUGGCUGUUGGGUGACAGCAAUUGUAAGAGACAUUUCUACUUCAGAGAGAUUAACGUGUUUUUUUAUGUGUUUGUUUGUUUGUUUUUAAUUGGAGAAGUUGUGAGUUUACAAAACAGUCACGCAGU
This 502-nucleotide long non-coding RNA is filed under the name Dasypus novemcinctus (nine-banded armadillo). RNAcentral's name for it is "lncRNA (ENSDNOG00000051837.1)". Lineage: Eukaryota; Metazoa; Chordata; Mammalia; Cingulata; Dasypodidae. The record is from RNAcentral.